This 497-nucleotide ribosomal RNA is filed under the name uncultured bacterium. RNAcentral's name for it is "partial 16S ribosomal RNA". It matches the Rfam family "Bacterial small subunit ribosomal RNA", at positions 28 to 507 of the family's 1533-position model. The record is from RNAcentral.
GAUGAACGCUGGCGGCGUGCCUAAUACAUGCAAGUCGAGCGAACGGACGAGAAGCUUGCUUCUCUGAUGUUAGCGGCGGACGGGUGAGUAACACGUGGAUAACCUACCUAUAAGACUGGGAUAACUUCGGGAAACCGGAGCUAAUACCGGAUAAUAUUUUGAACCGCAUGGUUCAAAAGUGAAAGACGGUCUUGCUGUCACUUAUAGAUGGAUCCGCGCUGCAUUAGCUAGUUGGUAAGGUAACGGCUUACCAAGGCAACGAUGCAUAGCCGACCUGAGAGGGUGAUCGGCCACACUGGAACUGAGACACGGUCCAGACUCCUACGGGAGGCAGCAGUAGGGAAUCUUCCGCAAUGGGCGAAAGCCUGACGGAGCAACGCCGCGUGAGUGAUGAAGGCCUUCGGACCGUAAAACUCUGUUAUUAGGGAAGAACAUAUGUGUAAGUAACUGUGCACAUCUUGACGGUACCUAAUCAGAAAGCCACGGCUAACUACGUG